This 379-nucleotide long non-coding RNA is filed under the name Gorilla gorilla gorilla (western lowland gorilla). Its description in RNAcentral is "lncRNA (ENSGGOG00000044358.1)". The record is from RNAcentral. Lineage: Eukaryota; Metazoa; Chordata; Mammalia; Primates; Hominidae.
AAAAAAAAAAAAAGCAGUGCAUGUUGCCUCUUCUAUUCAGGCUGUGACCAAAGGUUUCAAUGGUAAAGAUGACUCAUACCUUAAAGAACUAGAAGAAUUUUUUUGUGGCUUCUCUAUCCAUUGUCUUGCUCUCAUAAAACUGCUGAAUGACACCCAAGUGUAAAACCCACCAAAGAAAUAAGCGCUGGAUGACAUGUGGCAGAUUUUCCAACUCUCCAGGAAAAACUUCAGAUCAACUUGUUUCUCUGGAAACUACUCACAUCCGGGGGCUGUCCCUGUCCCCUGGGACUCAUAAACGUUCCUAUCUUCAAGGCACAGUUUAUUUUUUCCUUUAGUUUUCGAGUCUACAAAGAACAAUUUAACCGCAUUUGUUGCUGGC